Molecule: ribosomal RNA, 491 nt
Filed under: uncultured bacterium
Lineage: Bacteria
Description: partial 16S ribosomal RNA
Rfam family: Bacterial small subunit ribosomal RNA
Source: RNAcentral
GUGAACGCUGGCGGUAGGCCUAACACAUGCAAGUCGAACGGCAGCACAGUAAGAGCUUGCUCUUACGGGUGGCGAGUGGCGGACGGGUGAGGAAUACAUCGGAAUCUACUUUUUCGUGGGGGAUAACAUAGGGAAACUUACGCUAAUACCGCAUACGACCUACGGGUGAAAGCAGGGGAUCUUCGGACCUUGCGCGAUUGAAUGAGCCGAUGUCGGAUUAGCUAGUUGGCGGGGUAAAGGCCCACCAAGGCGACGAUCCGUAGCUGGUCUGAGAGGAUGAUCAGCCACACUGGAACUGAGACACGGUCCAGACUCCUACGGGAGGCAGCAGUGGGGAAUAUUGGACAAUGGGCGCAAGCCUGAUCCAGCCAUACCGCGUGGGUGAAGAAGGCCUUCGGGUUGUAAAGCCCUUUUGUUGGGAAAGAAAAGCAGCAGGUUAAUACCCCGCUGUUCUGACGGUACCCAAAGAAUAAGCACCGGCUAACUUCGUG